This 1444-nucleotide unclassified non-coding RNA is filed under the name Orbicella faveolata. Its description in RNAcentral is "uncharacterized LOC110057012, transcript variant X4". The record is from RNAcentral. Lineage: Eukaryota; Metazoa; Cnidaria; Anthozoa; Scleractinia; Merulinidae.
UUUUCGGCUGCCAUCUGAGGAAGGCGGAAGUGCAAAAAGAUGGCGGAAAAAAGUAACUUAGAAGGAAGAAGAGAGAAGCUUGCUACCUACUUACCUUUCGAUGCCUCAGAAACUCCUAAGUGGCGUACGAAAGAAGAAGUGCCAAUUUCAGAAAUGAUUAGAAAAAUAAUGGAUUAUCGCAAGAAAUGGGAAGAAGCCAAGAGUGCUAAUGUGUACGAUGAAAAGUUGGUUGAAAAAGUCCGGAGUCAGUUCCUUGUUGAGUUUAUAUUCCACGUUAAUAUGGAAGAAGAGAAAGGUUUUGGCACUUUUGAAGAGACAGAGGAAUUUCUAAACAGUUUUCACGCGCGAGGAGGUAAUUUGCAACGCCCCCUCUCUAUCACUGAGCAAGAAACUAUAAACUUAAGAAAAGCGUAUGAACACUUGCUAGGAAAAAUGGAGAGGGAAGAAGAAGAAAGCGAUUACGGACUUAUAGAGAGUAGCCUGCUGGAGGAGACGCAUCGUAUACUCAUGGAAGACACUGAUCUUCCACAGGGCAAAACGAAGCCUGGUAAAUUUAGCGUGGAAAGGCGUUACGUCGAAUUUAACGGGGAACUUUACAAGUACCCACACUACCCCAAACCUGGAGACAUGGAAACGGCUGUCUACAAAUUACUUGACAAGUAUAAUGACAUGUUCGACCUUUGUACCAAAGGUGGGCUAAAGGAGUUUGAAGACUUCUACUAUCUAUUUAAAACCUGUGCUUGGUUGCUGUUUGAACUUCUUGAUCUUCACCCAUUUGGAAAUGGAAAUGGGAGACUUUGUCGAAUCCUUUGCAGCUAUUUGCUUUCAAAGUUUACUCCAUUUCCAACACCAGUUUACAAUGUCUGGACUGAGUCCCGUAAAAACGAUUAUAGGCAAGCACUGGUUGAUACCAGAAAGAGUGAAGGUAGACAGCCAACUACCCUGACAACAAUGAUCAUAGAGUGUAGUUACUACGGUUGGGGAAAGUUUUUUGAAGCGUUGGAAGAAAACAAAGGAAUGGAUUUGCUCAUUUUGACAGACAGGAUGUGCAAUAGUUACAAACUAGAUGGUGGGAUGCGGGAUGGAAACAGAAAAUCAUGCGUUACAGAUGUUACAAGGAGAACUGCCACGCUAAACAAGCAGGAUCGAGAUAAAAAUUCUUAUUGAGGUGGGAUGGCAGGCCUAGGAUUAAGCCAAAAAUAGGACAUACGGGAUGCAGACGCAGGAUUGGAAAAACGUAUUGUAACGUGCGCGGGCGACAACAACUUCCAGUCAAGGAGUCCAACAGCCAACGGUUUAAUUACUUGACUCUCAACGUUUACCUUACUUGUACAUGGCAAGUCUACUAACACACACGCUACUACAUUACCUCAUUAUACCCUAAAAGACACCCCAAAAGCUCCUGCUGUGGACCUGUUGAGGCUUAUUACACCCUAAGAGGUAC